AUACAGAGAGAACAGGAGGGAGAGGGAGAGAACAGGAGGGAGAGGUUAACACAGAGAGUACCGGAGGGAGAGGUUAACACAGAGAGAACAGGAGGGAGAGGUUAACACAGAGAGUACAGGAGGGAGAGGUUAACACAGAGAGUACAGGAGGGAGAGGUUAACACAGAGAAAACAGGAGGGAGAGAUUAACACAGAGAGUACAGGAGGGAGAGGUUAACACAGAGAAAACAGGGGGGAGAGGUUAACACAGAGAGAACAGGAGGGAGAGGGAGAUAACAGGAGGGAGAGGUUAACACAGAGAGAACAGGAGGGAGAGGUUAACACACAGAGAACAGGAGGGAGAGGUUAACACAGAGAACAGGAGGGAGAGGGAGAGAACAGGAGGGAGAGGUUAACACAGAGAGAACAUGGGGAGAGGUUAACACAGAGAGUACAGGAGGGAGAGGUUAACACAGAGAACAGGAGGGAGAGGUUAACACAGAGAGUACAGGAGGGAGAGGUUAACACAGAGAGAACAAGAGGGAGAGGUUAACACAGAGAGUACAGGAGGGAGAGGUUAAUACAGAGAACAGGAGGGAGAGGGAGAGAACAGGAGGGAGAGGUUAACACAGAGAGAACAGAAAGGAGAGGUUAACACAGAGAGGACAGGAGGG
This is a long non-coding RNA of Oncorhynchus tshawytscha (Chinook salmon), 653 nucleotides long. The record is from Ensembl. NCBI's taxonomy places the organism in Eukaryota, Metazoa, Chordata, Actinopteri, Salmoniformes, Salmonidae.